RNAcentral lists this long non-coding RNA (474 nucleotides) under Manacus vitellinus (golden-collared manakin). Its description in RNAcentral is "lncRNA (ENSMVIG00005019654.1)". The record is from RNAcentral. Lineage: Eukaryota; Metazoa; Chordata; Aves; Passeriformes; Pipridae.
UCUUUAUUUUUUCCUAUAUAUAAACAUAAAUAGGUAAUGAGCACUUUCUACUUGAGCAAUAAAAAGACCCAAUGUAUUACUCCCUGUGUCCAGUGGAGUGGCAUAAAAAUCACAUGGGAAUGAAUUUUGAAACUUCAGUAUUUCUUUGUAAGCACACCUUCAGGCAUGAAGGAACACCUAUAUUUGGAGGCACGUCAGUUAAUUUGUUGCAUAUCAGAUUCAUCAUUGUGACUUCUUGCAGGCCAGAUCUGAGAAGUAACCAGGAACCUGAUCCUUAGUGGAGAAUGGAAGAGCCCUUCAAGUGAGAGCACAACUGGUCACUAAUGUAAUCUGCAUUGAGUCAUCUUUCUCAGAUCUGACAGCUACAAGCUGAGCCCUGGCAAAAGCCACAGCCUUAAAUUCCAUUCAGCGGGAAAGAAGGAUGAGAGAACUAAAUGUCUUGCCCCAUUGCAGAGACUGCUGUCUCCAAGCCUG